ACAGAAGUGGUCCCCACCUCAUAUGCAAAAGCCCAUUCACUCUCUCUCUUUCACUUUCCUCUUUCACUUUCCCUUCCCCAUUCUCUCUCUACGCUGGUUCCGUCGAAACCGACGAUCUUCUUCUUCUUCCUCGCCCCAGCUGCUCGCCCCAGUCGCUCGACCCAGCCGCCUCAGCCGCCCCAACGGCGACCCCUGAAUCUCGUCCCACCCACCCACAAUGGGGCGACGUCGGUCUCGACCCUUGCGACCCGCGACCCAAGCGUGCUCUGGGCGCGAUUUUAACAACACUGAGAGUUAGUAAUUAGAUUUUUAGUUAGAGGUUUUAUGUGUAUAUGUUUUUAUUAGGAAUAAAAGAAAUACAUUAGGAAAUUGAAUUAAUGAGAGAAUUAGAAAAAGAAAAAGAGAAAGAAAAAGUUUUGAAAGUGAUGAGUAAGUAGGACAAAAAUGUGUCUUGUGGAGAAAAAAUUAGGAAGAAAAUUAAGGAAAAGAAAAUAGAAAAAUAAUAGUCAUCCUCAUCUUUCUCCUCUCUAUUUUUUUGUUCCCUCUCUCCACGCCAAGUUCUCCCUCUCUGUAAAGAUUUUCAAUAGCCCUCUACUCCCUCCGAUCAGCCACCGCGACUCCUCCGGUCGCUCCAUCGUGUAACAUGUAAAACACUCUAUCAAUCCAAGCUCUCAAUUCCCCUUCUUCCCCUCAAUUUUGGAGCUUAGGUUGCAAACACAUCUCCACUUAUCUUUGGAAAAUAGUUGAAAUUAGAGGUGAACCGAGCGCAAGCACAAGCGAUAAGGGAAAAGGGCACCUCCAUGGUUGACUAAGCUAGUAAUAGCGGUUUCUUUUGUGACGUGUACAGAGUAUAGAAGUGAGUGAACUCGCUAGUUGGCAGCAGCACGUGUCAAGUCACUACCCCUUUUUGCUGGUAAAGUUGGAGUUUACAAGUGGUACACUAGCUGCCUCCUUGGAGCUUUAUGGAAGCAAGAAUCGAGAGGGAAGAGGAAGGAGAAAGGGAAAGGAAAAGGGUUCCCUUCUUGUAGCUACUUGGUUCCCAUACUAAUUUAGCCAACUCCUAGUCUUGCUUAAUAGAGUUGGUAGGAUGAAAAGUGUCAUGUAGGUGUGAGUGUUGUCUCUUUCACUUAUGUAAUUAUGUACUAAUAGCAUCUCCAUUAUCCAUGUAAUUGUAUUUCCAAAUUGUACUCUUAAUAAAAGCAUAUCUCUUACUUUUAUCCUUAAA
Long non-coding RNA from Salvia splendens (bonfire salvia), 1225 nucleotides. RefSeq lists it as uncharacterized. The transcript has 4 exons. NCBI's taxonomy places the organism in Eukaryota, Viridiplantae, Streptophyta, Magnoliopsida, Lamiales, Lamiaceae. The record is from RefSeq and is a predicted model, not a curated record.